This 362-nucleotide long non-coding RNA is filed under the name Nicotiana benthamiana. RNAcentral's name for it is "long non-coding RNA (NBEN_LNC015139)". The record is from RNAcentral. Lineage: Eukaryota; Viridiplantae; Streptophyta; Magnoliopsida; Solanales; Solanaceae.
GGAAUACAUAUUAAUAACUUUAUUGUUCAAACGAAGAUCACUCCUGAACUUUGAUCUCAAAAAGUAAUCAUGCACCUUUUUAGCAUCUUCAAGUUUCUUCGAGUUCGCACAUAACUCAAAGAGCAUCUCAAAACAUUGCGCAUCUCCAGCUACUCCCUGCUCCAUAUGUUCAAUAACCUCCUUAACUUUACCCUCUCGGCACAAGCUGAUUAAAUCGAGCAUCUCAAAACAUUGCGCAUCACCAACUACUCCCUGCUCCAUAUGUUCAAUAACCUCCUUAACUUUACCCUCUCGGCACAAGCUGAUUAAAUCAACAGUAGGCAGAGGAACACUUGGUACUUGAUUCUGCACAACCUGAGCUU